This 468-nucleotide ribosomal RNA is filed under the name uncultured bacterium. RNAcentral's name for it is "partial 16S ribosomal RNA". It matches the Rfam family "Bacterial small subunit ribosomal RNA", at positions 28 to 507 of the family's 1533-position model. The record is from RNAcentral.
GAUGAACGCUGGCGGCGUGCUUAACACAUGCAAGUCGAACGGAAAGGCCGAAGCUUGCUUCGGUACUCGAGUGGCGAACGGGUGAGUAACACGUGGGUGAUCUGCCCUGUACUUCGGGAUAAGCUUGGGAAACUGGGUCUAAUACCGGAUAUGACGAUCUCUUGGAUGGGGUUGUGGAAAGCUUUUGCGGUAUGGGAUGAGCUCGCGGCCUAUCAGCUUGUUGGUGGGGUAAUGGCCUACCAAGGCGUCGACGGGUAGCCGGCCUGAGAGGGUGUACGGCCACAUUGGGACGGAGAUACGGACCAGACUCCUACGGGAGGCAGCAGUGGGGAAUAUUGCACAAUGGGCGCAGGCCUGAUGCAGCGACGCCGCGUGGGGGAUGACGGCCUUCGGGUUGUAAACUCCUUUCGCAAUCGACGAAGCCUUUUGGUGACGGUAGGUUGAGAAGAAGCACCGGCUAACUACGUG